CAGUAGCCACGGGAAUACGGAGGGUGCAAGCGUUAAUCGGAAUUACUGGGCGUAAAGCGCACGCAGGCGGUCUGACAAGUCAGAUGUGAAAUCCCCGGGCUUAACCUGGGAACUGCAUUUGAAACUGUCAGGCUGGAGUCUUGUAGAGGGGGGUGGAAUUCCAGGUGUAGCGGUGAAAUGCGUAGAGAUCUGGAGGAAUACCGGUGGCGAAGGCGGCCCCCUGGACAAAGACUGACGCUCAGGUGCGAAAGCGUGGGGAGCAAACAGGAUUAGAGACCCGUGUAGUCCCUGUCUCUUAUAC
This 301-nucleotide ribosomal RNA is filed under the name uncultured bacterium. RNAcentral's name for it is "partial 16S ribosomal RNA". It matches the Rfam family "Bacterial small subunit ribosomal RNA", at positions 509 to 807 of the family's 1533-position model. The record is from RNAcentral.